AUCCAGCUGACGAGUCCCAAAUAAGACGAAAGGUGUGUUAAACUGGAU
RNAcentral lists this non-coding RNA (48 nucleotides) under Schistosoma curassoni. The record is from RNAcentral. Lineage: Eukaryota; Metazoa; Platyhelminthes; Trematoda; Strigeidida; Schistosomatidae.